CCUGGUAGCUCAGCUGGUAGAGAAUCUGCCUGCAAUGCAGGAAACCCUGGUUUGAUUCCUGGGUCAGGA
Molecule: transfer RNA, 69 nt
Filed under: Bos taurus (domestic cattle)
Lineage: Eukaryota; Metazoa; Chordata; Mammalia; Artiodactyla; Bovidae
Also listed under: 5 other names
Rfam family: tRNA
About the family: Transfer RNA (tRNA) molecules are approximately 80 nucleotides in length. Their secondary structure includes four short double-helical elements and three loops (D, anti-codon, and T loops). Further hydrogen bonds mediate the characteristic L-shaped molecular structure. tRNAs have two regions of fundamental functional importance: the anti-codon, which is responsible for specific mRNA codon recognition, and the 3' end, to which the tRNAs corresponding amino acid is attached (by aminoacyl-tRNA synthetases). tRNAs cope with the degeneracy of the genetic code in two manners: having more than one tRNA (with a specific anti-codon) for a particular amino acid; and 'wobble' base-pairing, i.e. permitting non-standard base-pairing at the 3rd anti-codon position.
Source: Rfam by way of RNAcentral